GAGAAGGAUAGAGUCAAGCAGCCUCUGCACUGUCAGCGUGAGCCCGAUGUGGGGCUCAAACUCAUAAACCAUGAGAUCGUGACCUGAGCCGAAACAAAGAGUCAGACGUUUAACCAAUCGAGCCACCCAGGCGUCCCAAAAGAAGUGUACUUUAAAUAGUCUCUGGAGUCAGACUGCCUGGGUUCAAAUCCUGAUUCUGCCAUUUACUGGCUCUGGGAUGGUAGGCAGGCUAACAUUUUGUGCUUUAGUUUCCUCGUUGGCAAAAUAAGAAUAAUAAAAAGAGAGCCAGAUACACAGGAAAUGCUCCAUAAACAUUUGCUCCUACCAUUAUUACUACUAUCAUCACUGACUGUUAUUUGGCAGGUGGUGGGUGUUCCCAGAGUGAAGGCUGCAGAGGAGUGAGGUUUGGGGGCAACUGCCUAGGAGGGGUGAGUUCAACUCUACUGGUCCAGUGGGAGCCUGGUGUCUGGAUGGGUGCGGAUGUGGCUGCGACAUGAAUGGUCUUCGUCUUCUUGGGGAGCCGGGAGCUGAAUUACCCUGCCUGGUGCAGAGCACCCAACCUGGUCCCAAGUGGAAACUGCACAUACCCGUGGCGGGAACAGGCCCACAUGCUGUCACUCAUCUCCUGGAUUGGUGCUUCAGACCGUCAGCAUCUAGCAGACAGGAGGCAGGUCAGUUGAACUUUCUUUGACCAGCACUGAAGAACAGCUAGCACAGAGUCCUACAGAGAUGGGGCUCAAACAUUCUCGACUAUGGUUCCGCGGAGUUUAGCCACUUUGAAAUGGGCAAGAAACCCACGAGGGGGGAAAUCCCUCCACGGCGGCAACCCGAGACGAAGCAAACCAGUGGUGCACAGGCGCUCUCCGGGAAUGAGAGGUCACAGGACUACUGGCAUUCAAGCCGGAACUGGAAGUGUUGAGCUCCUAUCUUUCUGCUCUGUCCACCUUCCCACUCUACUUUGACCAGAGGAUCCAAUGGAAAAGACAUCAAAUAAAUGAGCUGGUUGACAGCAGGACUUAACCUGAAAGUGGCUUAAUUUUCAAGAGUCCACACUGCCUCUGAGGCUUGAAAGGCAUCUAAAGGCAGAGGCAGAGCGAAAGGAAAGGAGAGCACAGGGGCCACGUGCAUCAGUACAUGGGGGCCCUCAGAAGAUGCAAGCGUUCGCAAAUCCCAGCUCUGAGACUAUGGUAGAUCUCGAGAGAAAAGCUGCCAAUUCCCCGGGGCGGGGGGAACUACUCUCCCUCCCCAUUGACCACUCACCAGCUAAAACCUAAUGGCAGCUGCCUACCAAGGUUAGCCCUACCUAAAGCCACCCAGGCAACAGGAACCCAAUCCCACCUCAGGAUUCUGGGAGUUGGGACCAGUGGACUUCUGGCCUUGAGCACGACUUGUAUUUUUAAGUGGUCGAGGGAGAGUUCAGGGUCCCUCAGAUUGGGCCACGCGGGGAGUCACUGGGUCUAGAGACUUCCCCGUUCUCCUCAGACGCCCUGUCUUCCUAUAGCGAAGUCUCCAGCAAGGCUGACUGCGAGAGCCACAACACGGGACUGCGUUCUCUGAACCCACUCAACUUUCAUGGACCUUUGGGGCUCUGCACAAGGACACCCACCCUGAGGAACUGCUCUGGCUACAUCAGGUCAGGACUCCAGCGUCCGCCUCUCUCGGGAGCUCAUGUCCUCUGCCCGAUUUAGCUCCCUCUAGUCAGACAUGUCAGUUCGCCUGUCUGGUCUGGGGCGCUUUCCCAGCAUGACGCCCUUGGCUUGUCGCAGCUCUGGCGGUUUGGGCAGAACAUACAGACUUAUCUUUCAGGGGACUCUGAUCUGGACAAUUCAGACUCGCUCAGGAGACUCCGUCCUUCGAAGGUAUGACUCUGAUGUGUUCUUUUUCUGAACAGGAUAUCCCUUUCUGAAGCAUCUGAGCCUUAAAAACACUAACAUUAGAAACAGAGUAAAACUUAAUGAAGGCAGAUAUCAAGGACCCACAGGAUUUCUUCAUUUUCAGUUCGGACUUCUGCUGCCCAGACACAAUCUUUCUGCCAUCUGUGUCAGGUUAGCUACAAAGCCCUGUUAUUAUUCUGGGCUACACAAUGCUGGCCCGACCUCCCCGAAUACAAGAAAUUGUGCUGAUUGAUUUAGUUAUUCUGUUCCUAUAAACGACCCCAGUUGUGCAGAUGUUUCUGAUUCACCAAUGUACUGCUGGAGUUAUAUACAAAUAAUUUUCUAAUGAACUCAGCAACUAGCAGAACAGGAGACGUGGGAUCUAGUCCCACCUCCCAGAAAAACAAGCAAAAGCAACGGUGCAGGGGCUUUUCAGCAAUGUUCCAGGUUUAAAUUCCUAUCUGCUGUGAUUCACUUUUUCCUCUUGAUGUAAUCCGCUAUAACUUAGAACGAAUGCUCUCAAAGAACCUUUGUCUUCAGAUUUCUGGACUCGAAAGGGAAACUCCGUUAGCUCUGUGCGCUCCAAACUCCUUUAAAAUUUCCCAUCUUUUGUAUUUCAUAAAUUUCUGUUUUCAUUAAAACAUUUAUACUUCCGGAGACAAUUUCUUAAAUAAUAUACUUUUACGAGGAGAAAAUUGGGACUGAAGAGUCUACAUUGACUUUAUUAUAAAGAGAAAUCAAGUGUUUUGUUUCAUUUCAAUACAGAACGAUUAGGCUCAGUGGGGUUAGGCUCAAAUUUUUCUCCUCCAGUUCUAGAAGACAAAUCACAUGCACAUUAGAAAAUUAAGGAAAAGACAAGACAUGAAUAAUUCAAAUGAAUGGGAUUUUUUAAAGUAAAGAUAGUGACAAGUGCUCCCUGCAGAAAUCAUUUGAAACAAAACAGGAAAAAGAGAUUAGAAAGCUUAUCCUUCUAAAAUAAAUUAUGCUGGCAAGGAUAUGGGGGAAACAGAUAUUUUCAAGUAGUGUUAGUGGGACCGUGAAUUACUACAACUUUUGGAAAGUAAUACCACUUUGGGGACUCUGACAGACAAAAAUAAAAGCUUCUGUAUGUUAGCUCGUUCGAAUUUACACACAUGGAUGUUCAGAGAAAAACUGUUGCUAUAUAUAGCACAAAACUUGAAACAACCUGAAUGGUUAAAUUGUGGCAUGUGAAGCAGCCAUGAUAUAAAUAAAUGAGUUUUUUAAUUUUUUUUAAAUUUUUUUUAAUGAGUUUUUUGAUUUGGAGAGAAUGUC
Molecule: long non-coding RNA, 3167 nt
Filed under: Lynx canadensis (Canada lynx)
Lineage: Eukaryota; Metazoa; Chordata; Mammalia; Carnivora; Felidae
Description: lncRNA (ENSLCNG00005010737.1)
Source: RNAcentral